GACGAACGCUGGCGGCGUGCUUAAACACAUUGCAAGUCGAACGGAGUGCCCGUGAUAGAGGUUUCGGCCAAAUUGAAUGGGUUACUUAGUGGCGGACUGGUGAGUAACGCGUGAGGAACCCUGCCUUUCAGAGGGGGACAACAGUUGGAAACGACUGCUAAUACCGCAUGACGCAUGACCGGGGCAUCCCGGAUAUGCCAAAGAUUUAUCGCUGAAAGAUGGCCUCGCGUCUGAUUAGAUAGUUGGCGGGGUAACGGCCCACCAAGUCGACGAUCAGUAGCCGGACUGAGAGGUUUUUGACCGG
RNAcentral lists this ribosomal RNA (304 nucleotides) under uncultured bacterium. Its description in RNAcentral is "bacterial SSU rRNA". It matches the Rfam family "Bacterial small subunit ribosomal RNA", at positions 28 to 307 of the family's 1533-position model. The record is from RNAcentral.